CCUACGGGCGGCAGCAGUGGGGAAUAUUGGACAAUGGGGGGAACCCUGAUCCAGCCAUGCCGCGUGUGUGAAGAAGGCCCUCGGGUUGUAAAGCACUUUCAGUGAGGAAGAACGCCUGGUGGUUAAUACCCAUCAGGAAAGACAUCACUCACAGAAGAAGCACCGGCUAACUCCGUGCCAGCAGCCGCGGUAAUACGGAGGGUGCGAGCGUUAAUCGGAAUUACUGGGCGUAAAGCGCGCGUAGGUGGCUUGAUAAGCCGGUUGUGAAAGCCCCGGGCUCAACCUGGGAACGGCAUCCGGAACUGUCAAGCUAGAGUGCAGGAGAGGAAGGUAGAAUUCCCGGUGUAGCGGUGAAAUGCGUAGAGAUCGGGAGGAAUACCAGUGGCGAAGGCGGCCUUCUGGACUGACACUGACACUGAGGUGCGAAAGCGUAGGUAGCAAACAGGAUUAGAUACCCGAGUAGUC
RNAcentral lists this ribosomal RNA (465 nucleotides) under Vreelandella stevensii. RNAcentral's name for it is "partial 16S ribosomal RNA". It matches the Rfam family "Bacterial small subunit ribosomal RNA", at positions 338 to 795 of the family's 1533-position model. The record is from RNAcentral. Lineage: Bacteria; Pseudomonadati; Pseudomonadota; Gammaproteobacteria; Oceanospirillales; Halomonadaceae.